RNAcentral lists this long non-coding RNA (243 nucleotides) under Homo sapiens (human). Its description in RNAcentral is "HSALNT0063392". Lineage: Eukaryota; Metazoa; Chordata; Mammalia; Primates; Hominidae. The record is from RNAcentral.
AGACUCCAUUUGAUGCUAUGUGGUGUUAUCAAAUGUGCUAAAAAGGCUGGUGGCGAUUAGAGAUUACAAUUAUGUUUUCCCAAAUAUCUCCUUCCAGAUUCUGGAGAAAUUGUUGACAUUUCAUAAUGGGCUCUUUGAAACUCUCCAAAAAGCAUUUUGGAUCAUUAUAGGACAAGGUAGGCUCUCAAACUACUCAGAAAAUAAUUGGAGAUUUGGCAGGAGGAUUAUUUCCCAUUCCAGGUA